RNAcentral lists this ribosomal RNA (253 nucleotides) under uncultured bacterium. RNAcentral's name for it is "partial 16S ribosomal RNA". It matches the Rfam family "Bacterial small subunit ribosomal RNA", at positions 524 to 776 of the family's 1533-position model. The record is from RNAcentral.
UACGAAGGGGGCUAGCGUUGCUCGGAAUCACUGGGCGUAAAGCGCACGUAGGCGGAUUGCUAAGUCAGGGGUGAAAUCCUGGAGCUCAACUCCAGAACUGCCUUUGAUACUGGCGAUCUUGAGUCCGGGAGAGGUGAGUGGAACUGCGAGUGUAGAGGUGAAAUUCGUAGAUAUUCGCAAGAACACCAGUGGCGAAGGCGGCUCACUGGCCCAGUACUGACGCUGAGGCACGAAAGCGUGGGGAGCAAACAGG